RNAcentral lists this long non-coding RNA (1060 nucleotides) under Rattus norvegicus (Norway rat). Its description in RNAcentral is "long non-coding RNA NONRATT017619". The record is from RNAcentral. Lineage: Eukaryota; Metazoa; Chordata; Mammalia; Rodentia; Muridae.
GCUGUCAGGGCUGCACGGCGGGAGGUAAGGCAUGGCCGGGUUGGAUGGAUGGGCAGCAGCGCGCCCGCACGGAGCAGCUCGGGGUGCCGGGGUUCCAAGGUACCCAGGCGGGCAUCGGCCCCUCGACACCCCCUCCCCAGUACACCCCAUCCUAUCCGCGCCUUGGGACCAUCUGCCUGCCGAGGCGGGCCAGCAUCCUACGAGCGGCCUCAUACCUUUCCGUUUCUGGCUUGUCCCCUCGGCCUGAGACCCGGAGCUCGCUACUGGGAACUGGCAAAACUGACCUACGGAUAUGGGCGCAGUUAGCCGGUACCUCUUCCUCUAUCUGAGAGUCCGGGACAGGAACUUGGGUCAUCUCAAUGCCGCCUCCCAAGGAUGAUCUCGUAUCUGUGGAUGGGGGCCAUCCUCUCCACCCCUGCCUGUCAGCGCUGGCCGGGAGGGGAGGGGCAUAGGCGGAGCCCCGGGUGUACUAGAGGAAGGGGGCUAGAUACUGUCCAUCUAUAUAGUGUCCACACUCGUACCUGAGCCCGAUACUGAGGACAGAGUAUAGGGUUACACCAGGGACAAGGAGGGUGUAGGACGUAAGCCUGCGUGCGGCUCCUAGCUCGUAGCGUGGGAACGGAACCAGAACCCCCUUCACAGGAUCCUAGCUCACCCCUCCAGCGCAGUGCAGGCCUUAUUUAUCUUUCCCUCCAUUUAGCCGUGCACCUGCACCUAACCUUCCCCAAGCAGUUGACACCCUGCAAAUGUCUACCAGGCAUCUGAGCUAGGCCACACCCUCUUGUUUGUAGGUGCUGGGCAGGAAACAGGCAGGCCUGGCUGAGAUCUGGGUCUGUCCUUAGUACUUAGAGCCAUGGUUACCUAGGGAUCAUCCCAGUGUUUCGCUUUAAGUUUCCCCGGAUUUCCACUCCCGGUCUUGGGGAGGGAUACAGACCUGCUUGUCACCAUAGGUACAACUGAUAACCUUCCCUCCUCCCACCCCCAGGGAGCCCAGGGGAGGCGCCCUCCCUAGGCCACCACUACUCAUGCAGUCCACUCCGCCCUCUGGCCUCUGAUGUCA